AUGGUUUAUUUGGUUGGCGGGCUCCAUGUUUGUGCAUCGAACCGUUGACUGAUAAGCCUCUUCAAUGUUGCGCCAAGAGCUAUUUUGAGCCUUGGGUGAGUAUCGGUUUUCUGUGUUGCAUUCCAAUUGAAGGUAUACUGUCCGAUAACUUGUUGCCUUUCGCCUAGCACUCUUAUGGGUGUUUGGUGGACCAAUGUAGCUAGAUUCGUCCCCCUAACACAACGUCGUUGUUGUUAUGGAGUACGAUGUCUAGUUGUGCCCCGGGAUGCGGAAAGUUUUGUGGGGAUGGAUGUGUUUCUACACGAUGUGUCCCUAAUUAAGCAUUUUAUGCUUAGCAUGAACGACAGUCGGUUACGAGUUGGACUUCCUUAAGGGAAGGCCCAUGCGUACUGGUGUCGAUCGAGGAGUGCUACCUGGUUGAUCCUGCCAGUAGUCAUAUGCUUGUCUCAAAGAUUAAGCCAUGCAUGUGUAAGUA
This 475-nucleotide unclassified non-coding RNA is filed under the name Dysphania mandonii. Its description in RNAcentral is "partial contains external transcribed spacer and small subunit ribosomal RNA". The stretch from base 411 to 475 matches the Rfam family "Eukaryotic small subunit ribosomal RNA", at positions 1 to 65 of the family's 1831-position model. Lineage: Eukaryota; Viridiplantae; Streptophyta; Magnoliopsida; Caryophyllales; Amaranthaceae. The record is from RNAcentral.